UACGUAGGGUGCAAGCGUUGUCCGGAAUUAUUGGGCGUAAAGAGCUCGUAGGCGGUUUGUCGCGUCUGCUGUGAAAACUCGGGGCUCAACUCCGAGCUUGCAGUGGGUACGGGCAGACUAGAGUGCGGUAGGGGAGACUGGAAUUCCUGGUGUAGCGGUGGAGUGCGCAGAUAUCAGGAGGAACACCGGUGGCGAAGGCGGCAUCCUGGACCGACAUUGACGCUGAGGAGCGAAAGCUAGGGGAGCAAACGGG
This 253-nucleotide ribosomal RNA is filed under the name uncultured bacterium. Its description in RNAcentral is "partial 16S ribosomal RNA". It matches the Rfam family "Bacterial small subunit ribosomal RNA", at positions 524 to 776 of the family's 1533-position model. The record is from RNAcentral.